CCUACGGGAGGCUGCAGUAGGGAAUAUUUCUCAAUGGGGUAAACCCUGAAGCAGCAACGCCGCGUGAAGGAUGAAGGUUUUCGGAUUGUAAACUCCUUUUGUUAGAGAAGAUAAUGACGGUAUCUAACGAAUAAGCACCGGCUAACUCCGUGCCAGCAGCCGCGGUCACACGGAGGGUGCAAGCGUUACUCGGAAUCACUGGGGGGAAAGGUCGCGUAGGCGGGAUAGCAAGUCAGAUGGGAAAUCCUAUGGGUUAACCAUAGAACUGCAUUUGAAACUGGUAUUCUAGAGUAGGGGAGAGGUAGGUGGAAUUCUUGGUGUAGGGGUAAAAUGCGUAGAGAUCAAGAAGAAUACUCAUUGCGAAGGCGACAUGCUAGAACAUAACUGACGCUGAUGCGCGAAAGCGUGGGGAGCAAACAGGAUUAGAUACCCGUGUAGUC
This 440-nucleotide ribosomal RNA is filed under the name uncultured bacterium. RNAcentral describes it as "partial 16S ribosomal RNA". It matches the Rfam family "Bacterial small subunit ribosomal RNA", at positions 338 to 795 of the family's 1533-position model. The record is from RNAcentral.